CCCAGAGUAUGCCUGUUCGCGGGUUAGGUUGUGGCAUGACUCUGGGGAAAUCGAAUUUUUUUAUCCAAAAUGAGAUAAAUGGCGCAUGCGCUUUUAUUGCUUUGGUUCAUUCCGCUUACUAAAUUCGCGCGGGCACACGCUCACAAUCGAUAUUGUUUUAAACAAAGAUUCUCAUCAGAAUAUAGUGUACAAAAAGGUUUUUUAUACGUUUAAAGGUGUUUUAAAUCGUACUACUAUUAAAUUAUAUUCAAUGGCAAAUACUGAAAGAGCUAUGAAAGCUGUUCUAGCGAAAAGAGGGCUUGAAUAUUCGUUAAAAGACGAGACAUUCAAAAUUUUAUGUAUCUCGGCCAUUGUAAAAGGAUGAAGAUGUUUUGGUUGUUUUGCCAACAGGUUAUGGGCAUAUUAUGGCAAAUAUUAAAAUAUUUCAGCUGCUACCUGACGUGUACGACAUGUUACUUGGCGUAUUAACUAAUUCUAUCGUGAUAGUCAUAUCUCCACAUGAAUGACCAAGGCUGCAAGGCAUUUCUGCAUGCAUGAUAGUAUGUCAAAGUAUGAUACGUACAAGGCUAUUCUGUGCUAAAACUGUCUGUACCAAUGUAGGUAGUACCAAUGUAGAAAUGCUGUGCUGAGUGGUUAUAUUACUACCUUAAAAAAUAAGCAGAAACUCAACGUUUCGAGCGAAGGCCCUUCGUCAAGAGUUAGUAGCAUUCUGUGCUACACUAUAUAUGGUGAUGGCAGCGAUGUCAAAUGACCAUUGGAUCGACAUGAGAACCUGACGUUUAAGCUGUUCUAUAUGCACCCAGAAAUGUGUGUCUAUGACAAGAAAAUACAAGCUUUUUUCAACUGUAAACCUCUGAAUAUAAUGCUCACCUCAUUCCAAAUAUAACCCCCCCCCCAAGUAUAAGCCCCCCCCCUGAAUAUAAGCCCCCUGAAUACAAGCCCGGUAUCCCACUAUGUUAUUUAACAUUGACAUUGUCUUUAAAUAUAGCAGAGAACGAUAUUUGAAACACUGUCAUUGUCUUUAUAGCUUACUAUGUUAAUGGAAGUGUGUUAUUAAUACAUGUUUAUUUUCCUGUUCAUGAGUGACUGACUUGUUUAUUACUAACACAAUUGAUUGUCCAUGUAUAAGGCCCCCAUGCAUAUAGCCCCCCCCCCCCAAGCCCAUGAAAAAUCGCUUCAAAACAAUAUAAGCCCAGGGCUUAUAGUCAGAGGUUUACGAUAUUAUAUAUCACAUAUUUUUUAUAUUAUAUUACUUUUUAUACUAUAUUAUUUUUUAUAUUAUAUUACAACAUAUAUACAUGGACCACAUAUAAAGUCUUUAAAUGACAGUACAUUGUGUUUGUAAUUAUAAUUACUAUAAUUACUUGUGUCAAAAGUAAGAAAUGAAGUGAACAAAUCCAUAUAUAUUUGUUGAAAAAUUCUUGCAGUGGGUAUCUUCCUUUUGCUUUUCAUGCUUCACACUGUGUAUCUUUGAACAUUUAAUCAGCAACUAAUUAUAGGCAAGAAUAUAUUUACUAGCUCAUUUCUCCAUAUUACCAGGUACAUAACAUGCAAUAUAUCAACCUUGCAAUCCAUGCUUUAACCCAUGCAGUUGCCCCCUCUCCUGGAGCAUGUUUGGGAAGGGAGAGGAAGGAAUGG
Non-coding RNA from Paramuricea clavata, 1638 nucleotides. The record is from the annotation of a GenBank genome assembly. NCBI's taxonomy places the organism in Eukaryota, Metazoa, Cnidaria, Anthozoa, Malacalcyonacea, Plexauridae.